GGAGAGGUGCCCGGAGCGGCUAAACGGGGACCGAAGGCCACGCCUCAAGGUCGGGCUUCAACCAGCCCACGCAGGUUCGAAUCCUGCCCUCUCCG
This 95-nucleotide transfer RNA is filed under the name Streptomyces avermitilis. RNAcentral describes it as "tRNA-OTHER". It matches the Rfam family "tRNA". Rfam says of the family: Transfer RNA (tRNA) molecules are approximately 80 nucleotides in length. Their secondary structure includes four short double-helical elements and three loops (D, anti-codon, and T loops). Further hydrogen bonds mediate the characteristic L-shaped molecular structure. tRNAs have two regions of fundamental functional importance: the anti-codon, which is responsible for specific mRNA codon recognition, and the 3' end, to which the tRNAs corresponding amino acid is attached (by aminoacyl-tRNA synthetases). tRNAs cope with the degeneracy of the genetic code in two manners: having more than one tRNA (with a specific anti-codon) for a particular amino acid; and 'wobble' base-pairing, i.e. permitting non-standard base-pairing at the 3rd anti-codon position. Lineage: Bacteria; Bacillati; Actinomycetota; Actinomycetes; Kitasatosporales; Streptomycetaceae. The record is from RNAcentral. RNAcentral also lists the same sequence under 3 other names.